ACGGGUGUAGCUCAGUUGGUAGAGCAGCGGAUUCCAAAUCCGCAGGUCCGGGGUUCAAGUCCUCGCGCCCGUGCCA
Molecule: transfer RNA, 76 nt
Filed under: Deltaproteobacteria bacterium
Lineage: Bacteria; Pseudomonadati; Myxococcota; Myxococcia
Description: tRNA-Trp
Rfam family: tRNA
About the family: Transfer RNA (tRNA) molecules are approximately 80 nucleotides in length.
Source: RNAcentral